This 595-nucleotide long non-coding RNA is filed under the name Betta splendens (Siamese fighting fish). RNAcentral describes it as "lncRNA (ENSBSLG00000019548.1)". The record is from RNAcentral. Lineage: Eukaryota; Metazoa; Chordata; Actinopteri; Anabantiformes; Osphronemidae.
UGCAGCACGCGGUACGACCCAGAUUAGCAACGAGCUAGUUACACUGCCGACACAGACGAGCACCAGAGGGAGCCAGACAGGUUUAGGGUGUGACUCCCAUGGUGCAUCUUGGCCUUGACUUGUAGUUUAAAUGGAUGUUAAAAUGGAUGGAGGUUCGAAUAGGAGACCUUGGAGCAGAGGUCCAUAUGAAAUGUUCUGUUCUCAGCUCCACAGCUCAGAGGACACGGCCCGAUACUCGGUCUCAUCCAGAGAGUUCGUGACAUACAGCAACAGCGUCUUCACCAGCUACAACAAAAGGCCGGUGGAGGUGGAACGCGCAGUCCAGAAGCUUGAGCUCACCCGGAAGGAGCCGGUGCCGCGGAGGGCGGGCUCAGAGAUCAACCUGGCAUCUGCCGGGAAGCAAAACAAACGCACCUUGUUCAGACAGUCGCUGGCCGUCUGCACUGAGCGUGCUCAGACGGGCUUCCUGAACCCGCUCCUGCGACGCACGGCCUCGGCCAAGACCAGUCUGGGACGAGCUCCGUCAGCACCGUUCAUCCAACACGGGAAGGUUUUCCAGAGGAGGAAGGAGUGGGAAACCAAAGCUGCUGCCUGA